AUUGAACGCUGGCGGAAUGCUUUACACAUGCAAGUCGAACGGCAGCACGGGUGCUUGCACCUGGUGGCGAGUGGCGAACGGGUGAGUAAUACAUCGGAACGUACCCAGUCGUUGGGGAUAACGUAGCGAAAGUUACGCUAAUACCGCAUACGUCCUGCGGGAGAAAGCGGGGGACCGUAAGGCCUCGCGCGAUUGGAGCGGCCGAUGGCGGAUUAGCUAGUGGGGGGGGUAAAGGCCAACCAAGGCGACGAUCCGUAGCGGGUCUGGUGAGACGACCAGCCACACUGGAACUGAGACACGGUCCAAACUCCUACGGGAGGCAGCAGUGAGGAAUUUUGGACAAUGGGAGAAAGCCUGAUCCAGCCAUUCCGCGUGAGUGAAGAAGGCCUUCGGGUUGUAAAGCUCUUUCGUCAGGGAAGAAACUGCUUGGGAUAAUACCCCGGGCUAAUGACGGUACCUGAAGAAGAAGCACCGGCUUACCACGUGCCAGCCGCCGCCGUAA
This 502-nucleotide ribosomal RNA is filed under the name uncultured bacterium. RNAcentral describes it as "partial 16S ribosomal RNA". It matches the Rfam family "Bacterial small subunit ribosomal RNA", at positions 29 to 523 of the family's 1533-position model. The record is from RNAcentral.